Molecule: ribosomal RNA, 530 nt
Filed under: Bifidobacterium pseudocatenulatum
Lineage: Bacteria; Bacillati; Actinomycetota; Actinomycetes; Bifidobacteriales; Bifidobacteriaceae
Description: bacterial SSU rRNA
Rfam family: Bacterial small subunit ribosomal RNA
Source: RNAcentral
GUGGUAAUGCCGGAUGCUCCGACUCCUCGCAUGGGGUGUCGGGAAAGAUUUCAUCGGUAUGGGAUGGGGUCGCGUCCUAUCAGGUAGUCGGCGGGGUAACGGCCCACCGAGCCUACGACGGGUAGCCGGCCUGAGAGGGCGACCGGCCACAUUGGGACUGAGAUACGGCCCAGACUCCUACGGGAGGCAGCAGUGGGGAAUAUUGCACAAUGGGCGCAAGCCUGAUGCAGCGACGCCGCGUGCGGGAUGACGGCCUUCGGGUUGUAAACCGCUUUUGAUCGGGAGCAAGCCUUCGGGUGAGUGUACCUUUCGAAUAAGCACCGGCUAACUACGUGCCAGCAGCCGCGGUAAUACGUAGGGUGCAAGCGUUAUCCGGAAUUAUUGGGCGUAAAGGGCUCGUAGGCGGUUCGUCGCGUCCGGUGUGAAAGUCCAUCGCUUAACGGUGGAUCUGCGCCGGGUACGGGCGGGCUGGAGUGCGGUAGGGGAGACUGGAAUUCCCGGUGUAACGGUGGAAUGUGUAGAUAUCGGGA